Long non-coding RNA from Lutra lutra (Eurasian river otter), 444 nucleotides. RefSeq lists it as uncharacterized. NCBI's taxonomy places the organism in Eukaryota, Metazoa, Chordata, Mammalia, Carnivora, Mustelidae. The transcript has 3 exons. The record is from RefSeq and is a predicted model, not a curated record.
UUAUACGGCAAACAGCCUUGGAAGAUACAGAUCACAUCCCCCUGGAGAAGAAGGCAGAUAUACUUACUGUCCAGUGUUAUAAAAAUUUUUCUGAAAGGAAAGGGCAGGCAUGCUGGCUGCCCAUUACAGAAGAUUCGGUUACCCUAAUCUUGGAGUUCCUCAGCUGUGCUGUGCACCCACCGCAGGCCAGGAUCCAGUGGAGCCCUUCUGUGUCAGUUCCUGGGAUUGUGGAGUAAAAGGAAUCAAUGCAAACAUGAGACUCAUGCUUUGGGUUGUACUGUGAGUAGGAGAGUCCUUUGUACUUUGAUCCAGGAUUUUGCCCUCUGCCAGCAUCUGUGAAACUGGCAGUGAAUCAAGGGCAUCUGCUGGCAUCGCUGUGGAUUCUGUUGUUUGCAAACAGACAGCCAAGAGCCAAGUUCACAACCAAGCCAUGCAUUUGGAAGU